GUUGGGAAAAGUUUUGAGGUGGUGUUGUUGUUUUUUUCCCUUCCUUUUCUCCCUUGUCUUUCUGGCUGGGGGUGUUGUCAAAGUCUUUUUUUGAAGAAUCUUUGGGUGAGUGUAACUUUAAGGAAAAUUCUUUCUUUGCUCUCUCCUUUUGUCCUCCUCCCCUUAACCCUUCGGCAGCCAGAUGGAAUUUGCACCCCUUUCUCUGUACUUUCUGGUUUUUCCAAGGCAGCCAGCCAGCCAGCCAGCCACCCCCUCCCCGCUUGCCCCCAAAUCAGCCGGCUAUGCUAAUCUUUCAGGUCUUUGCUGCUGCUAUCGCACAAGGUUGCGGCUGUGUGUAGGAGUUGUCUGUGUUGGGGAGUGAGAUUCAAGAAAGGGAAGCAGUCUCUUCCCCAAUCGCUCUUCUCUCUCUCUCUCUCUCUCUCAUUCACUCACUCACUCUCCCUGUCUUUUGAAGAAGACAGAAUAAGCAAGAAGUUAACUCCCUUGAGUAAGCAACUUUAUUGUAGGCUCUGAGUAGAGACUCCUCUGGGCUCAGAAGCCGAAGUAGGAGGAACCCAAGACUGAACCGGAGAGAAGACUAAAAAAAUAAUAAUCAGCUGUUCUUCAAGACACCAGAAAAGCAGAGUUGGGAAGAAGAAGAAGAAGAAGAAGAAAGCAAAUUUUGCUAAGCCCAAAAGCAAAUGAAUGCAGGGAUUUUGAAAAGGGGGGAGCAAAAUCCUCUGGGAUAGUCCCUAAAAUUCCCUCUGUCCUUCCUCUUCCUUUUUGUUUAAAUGAUGCAGACAAAUGUUUUGAGUUGAGGAAUUUAUUUCCAGACUUUCGGGAAGAGUUUUGGGCACAACGUCGGAUCCCUCUCACUUCCCCCGGCCUCUUGGGUGCUGCGGACUUCGUCACUUGUUGGGGUUUAUUUUGUUUGUUUGGACUGCAGUGAUCAUUUCUUCUCCGGCCGCUUUUUUAAUGAUUCGGUAAAGGCGGGUUGCUGCUUCUUGGGAAGAGAUCUGGGGGUUUUUUCCCCCCAACGGAUUGUUGUUGUUUUUUUUCAUUUCCCCCCCCCCUGUUUUUCUUCCACCGAUGAGCCACUAAACUUUCUUGAAAGCUGGGAUGAUGUUCGAGGGAACUUUUCGGUUUGGGAAGAUGGACCAAGUGAGCUGGUGCUUCCUGUCCGGUCUGCUGGCUUGGUCGAUGGGCAUCAGCCUCACCCAAGAAGCUGGUUACUUCCAAGAAAGUCCUUCAAAUUUGACCUCGUCUUUGGGGAAGGACGUGAAACUCACCUGCUCAGUUCUGGCCCAGGGCGAGGCACCGGAGAUCAGCUGGCUGAGGGAUGGUGAGGCCUUCGAAUUUGCCGACAUUAACCAGAUCCAGGUGCCUUUGGAAGAAGAGGAAUGGAUGACCACCAGCGAACUGAGCAUCUCUUCCCUCCAGCUCUCGGACAUGGGAAAUUACCAGUGUGUCGCCUUGAUGAAUGGAUCUGAAUUUUUUUCUGAAGAAGCUUACCUGCAGUUAGAAGGCCUCCCCUUUUUCUCCGAGGAGCCCCAAGAUCUGGAGAUCACGGCCGGUACUCCGUUCAACCUCAGCUGCGCAGCCCAGGGCCCCCCGGAACCUGUCUCGGUCAUCUGGUUGCAGGACAGCGUUCCCCUUAACUCCUUGGCGGAACCCCUGGCCGAGACCCCUUCCGUGUUGGGGGUGAGAGGGCUGAAUCACAGCGCCUCCUUCUCCUGCGAAGCCCACAAUGCCAAGGGGGUCAGCACCUCCCGAACUGCGGUGGUAAAAGUGUUACCUGGACGGCCAUGUGACUUAUCCGUUGCCCAGCGUAGUGACCACAGCCUGGACGUGACGUGGGAGCCCGGUUUUAGCGGCGCCUAUGCGCAGGAGUUCUGCGCCAUCCAGGCUAUGCGCUCCGAUGAAGACCUGAGCACCGUUUCCAACGAGCUGUAUAACCGCAAGAUCCGCGUCCCGCCUUUCAGCCACACGCUGGACGGCCUGGCAGCCUUCACCACCUACCACGUGCGCGUGGCCUGCCAUUCCACCGAGGGCCACUCGCCCUGGACCCACUGGGUCGCUAUGGACACCUUGGAAGGGGCGCCUGCAACCGCCCCGGAAAACGUUGUGGCUAUUCAGAAUGGCAGCGGCACCAUCAUCCAGUGGGGACAACCGCAGGGCAGCAUCAACGGGAUACUUCGGGGGUACAAACUGGUGUGUCAAAGUGGGGAGUCCCCCGAGGUGAUCGUGGACGUGGGACUGACCAACGAGACAAUUUUGUCUCUGAACUCGAGCGUACGGAACUUGACCGUCCGGAUUGCAGCCUACACCGGCGCCGGAGACGGACCCUGGAGUGAAGCCGUCAUGAUCCUCUCCUCGGAACCAGGUGAACUACUGCCAGCUCCUCAGUCAGUAGGAAUCUCCGUCCCUGCCUUCUCGUGGCACUGGUGGUACGUAGUGAUCGCCGUGGCCACCGCCGUGGCAGCCACCAUCUUCAUUAUCAUCUUCUUGGCACGUAUGAGGAAAAAGGAAACACGCUACGGGGAAGCAUUUGAGCCCAACAUGGAACAGGGAGAGCUAGUGGUUCAUUAUCGCGCCCGGAAAUCGUACAGCCGCCGGACCACUGAAGCUACUUUGAACAGUCUGGGCAUCAGUGAAGAAUUGAAGGAAAAGCUUCAGGAUGUAAUGAUUGACCGCCAUAGAGUGGCUCUGGGCAAGACCCUUGGUGAAGGAGAAUUUGGCUCGGUUAUGGAGGGUCAACUCAGCCAAGACGGUGCCGUCUUUAAAGUUGCGGUCAAGACAAUGAAGAUUGCCAUAUGCACCCGCAGCGAGAUGGAGGACUUCCUCAGUGAGGCUGUUUGCAUGAAGGACUUUGACCAUCCCAACGUCAUGAAACUGAUCGGCGUCUGUCUGCAGAACACAGAAAGCGAAGGCUACCCAUCUCCUGUAGUGAUCCUGCCUUUCAUGAAACAUGGAGAUCUACACAGCUUCCUGCUAUACUCCCGGCUCGGGGAGAGCCCUGUGUACUUGCCCACGCAGACGUUGGUGAGGUUCAUGGUGGACAUUGCAAGUGGCAUGGAGUACCUCAGUAGUAAGAACUUCAUUCAUCGGGACCUCGCGGCCCGCAACUGCAUGCUUAACGAAAGCAUGACAGCCUGCGUGGCCGAUUUCGGCCUCUCCAAGAAGAUCUACAACGGUGAUUAUUACCGCCAAGGUCGUAUCUCUAAGAUGCCGGUCAAGUGGAUUGCCAUCGAGAGUCUGGCCGAUCGUGUUUAUACCACCAAGAGCGAUGUGUGGUCCUUUGGAGUCACCAUGUGGGAAAUCGCCACGAGAGGCCAGACGCCUUAUCCCGGGGUAGAAAACAGCGAAAUUUACGACUACCUACGUCAAGGCAACCGACUCAAGCAGCCGAUUGACUGCCUGGAUAGCCUGUAUGAGCUGAUGAUGAGUUGUUGGACGCUGAACCCCCGCGACCGUCCCACUUUCGAAAUCCUGUCCCAGGAGCUGGAGAAGACCCUCAAGUCACUCCCACCGCCCAAAGAUCCCGAGGAGAUCCUCUACGUCAACAUGGACGACGGAGUGGCCCCCGCCGAGGCGGAGCUGGGCGCCGUGGGAGGCUUGGCCCCCGAGGAAGCCCUGGCUAAGGAGAUAAAGGCCAUGGUCACAUCUGCCGAAGUCCAUCCCCCGCAGGCGACGGGCCGCUACGUGAUGUGUCCCACUCCCCUCGAGAACAGCCGGCUCUUGACCGAGACCCUCAGCUGCGCCGCCACUGAGGAAGGGGCUUAAAAAAAAGGGAAGAUCUGCAGACCCCAUGCGCUGGGUGUCUAUGGAGAUGUUGCAAGGCUGGUGACCCCUUCCCCCCCACCUCUCCGCCUCCAAGAGGGGUCUUCCAAAGACAAACCCUUGAGACCCACAUCCAUCCUUCACCCCACGAAUCGCCCACUCCUGAUUCUGUUGACCUCUGUCCCGAAUUGAGGUCUUCCUGACCCCCUCCAGUCACCUGGACCGGAGUGAUUUCCAAAAGGCCAGCCCCCUCCGUGGGUCUCGUGGCCCCUCUUUCUCCCUCUCUGGGCCCAGCAUCCCUUCUUGCUCACCUCAAGGCAAACCCACUGACUCGGAGACGAUGCAAAGAUAGCGACUAGAGAGAGAGAGAGAGAAAGAGAGAGACAGAGUCCUUUUCGGGAGCCAGUGGGGAGGGGAACCUGCCUUUUCUUCUUCCAUUCCCAAUAGUCACACAGCUUUUCAGCCCCUUUGUGCUAUCAUGCAGCAGCCCGAACACAGAAAUUGCUCCGAGUUGUCAUUUGCUCCAUCGGAACGGGCUGAACAAACCACAAUAAGUCAAAUUUCCCGGAAGUCAUCUAAGCCAUAAACUUCCAAACAAUGGGCUGGGUUCACCUCAAGGGUAAAAUGCUCCCAGUUCGGACCGGAUCGCCCGAUCCGGUAGCAAUGGCGGCGGGUGGUUUUUUGUUUUUUGUUUGUUUACAUUUAUAUCCCGCCCUUCUCCGAAGACUCAGGGCGGCUUACAGUGUAUAAGGCAAUAGUCUCAUUCUAUUUGUAUAUUUUACAAAGUCAACUUAUUGCCCCCCCAACAAUCUGGGUCCUCAUUUUACCUAUCUUAUAAAGGAUGGAAGGCUGAGUCAACCUUGGGCCGGGCUUGAACCUGCAGUAAUUGCAGGCUACUGUGUUCUAAUAACAGGCUCUAACAGCCUGAGCUAUUACGGCCUAUUACUGGUUUGAAGAACCAGUAGCAAAAAUCUCUGCCUCCUCCAUGCCCAGCUGAGCCGCAUGAUCAUCAGAGGGUUUUUUUAUUUUUUUAUUUUUAAAAGCAUUUUUUUCUUUGGCCGGAAAAAUGCUUUUAAAAGGCUCUGAUGAACCCAGCUGAGUUGCCUGAUUGUCAGAGGCUUUUUUUUCUUUUAAAGGCAAAAAAAAAUGCUUUUAAAAGAAAAGAAAAGCCUCUGAUGAUCAGGCAGCUCAGCUGGGAUCGUCAGAGGAGCCUUUUAAAAGCAUUUUUUCUACAACCUCUUCGGCCGUAGAGGUUGUAGAAAAAAGGCUUUUAAAAGUAAAAAAAAAAAAAAAGUUGGCCAUGCCCACCCAGUCACAUUAGAAAACCCCCCCCCAAGCUACGCCCACAGAACCGGUAGUAACAAAUUUUACUUUUCACCCCCGGUUCACCUGCUGUAUCCCUUAACGAUGUCAGUCUUAUCGGGCGGCUAAUUGGCUCGGAUGUCACUCUUAAGCCAUGUUUUUCAACCUUGGCGACUUGAAGGUGGGUGGACUUCAACUCCCAGAAUUCCCCAGCCGGCAGAAGGUAGAAAGGCCGGCUAGGGGAUUCUGGGAGUCGGAGUCCACUCAUCUUCAAGUCACGAAGUUUAAGAAAUAUCCUCCUGCUUUUACCUUUUUUUUUUUUUUGUAAAAUAUGGUUUACAAAAGGCUGGGUUUGUACAGCAUAUGAAGUCAAAAUAAGGUAACUUUAUGGUGUAGCAUGUUACAUGAACCCUGUUCAUCUUAGGGUGCAAACCCAGCCAUCCUGGCUGUGAAGGUUUUGGGGGCAAAUUUUACUCUCUAAAUCAGGGCUGCCAAGGUUUGGAGACCCCUGCUCUAAAUUCCCUCCAUGAGUGAUAGUCCCCCAGCCCAGUAAACUAAAGGCCUCUAGAGGUUGCAUUCACACAACCUGCUAAGCUUAGAUUGUUUUAACCUAAAAGUCGGGAUCUGUGCAUGUCUGCAUUAGUGAGUCCGAACCCUUUAAUUUGUUUACUGUUCAAGGGCACUGUGCGAAUCCCACCCAAAGGUUAAUUCAGUAACCGGAUGAAGGACGUUGUGUGAACACAAGCAAGCCCGGGUCUGUCUUUGUUCUUCCCGUCCUUCCGACGGGAAUACAGGUGGUCCUCGUACUUAACGGCCACAACUGAGCCCCGACAUUUCCGUCGCUAAGUGGAUUUCGCUCCAUCUUACCACCUUUCUCGCCAUGAUGCUUAAGUGAGCCACCGCCGUCGUUAAAUCGGGACACACGGUUAUUAAGCGAAUCUGGCUUCCCCGUCGGACUUUGCCGGUCAGACGGUUGCAAAAAAAAGGGGGAUCACAUGACCCCCUGGAACUUGGCAACCAUCAUAACUAGGAGUCGGUUGCCAAGCGGCCAAAUUUGGAUCACGUAACCACAGGGAGGCUGCCACGGUUAUGUAAGUGUGAACAAACAAGUCAUAAAUCACAUUUUUUGAGUGCCGUUGUAACUUCGAAAGGCCAUUAAGAAAAUCGUUGUAAGUUAAGGACUACCUGAACUCUAGCUUACUCCCUCCAGUUCCUUAUCUCCUUCCUACUUUUAAUUUCCAGCUGUUUCACUGCCACGAUUGUCUGCUCAUCACCUUUGGCUGGACACCAAGGACAAAUGAAAAAGACAGUUACUCUAAACUAGGGGUCUCCAACCUUGGCAACUUUAAGCCUGGAGGACUUCAACUCCCAGAAUUCCC
Molecule: RNA transcript, 6440 nt
Organism: Ahaetulla prasina
Lineage: Eukaryota; Metazoa; Chordata; Lepidosauria; Squamata; Colubridae
Gene: AXL
Gene name: AXL receptor tyrosine kinase
Exons: 21
Source: RefSeq, a predicted model, not a curated record